This 285-nucleotide unclassified non-coding RNA is filed under the name plant metagenome. Its description in RNAcentral is "partial contains small subunit ribosomal RNA and internal transcribed spacer 1". The stretch from base 1 to 54 matches the Rfam family "Eukaryotic small subunit ribosomal RNA", at positions 1778 to 1831 of the family's 1831-position model. The record is from RNAcentral.
GGAGGUAAAAGUCGUAACAAGGUUUCCGUAGGUGAACCUGCGGAAGGAUCAUUAACGUUACAAAUCCACCUUGUUUGCUGGUUCCUGGGUCUCCUGGGGAUCAGCAACAAGCACCCAGUGACAUGUUAAAGUCCAGCCACUCAAUCUUGAUGUGGCUUUAUUUUAAAGCACUUUUUAAAAAAUCUGUCUAAAAUUGAGUCAAAAAACAAGAACAUUUGUUCUUUUUUUUGAUGCAAAAAAAUUAUAAUCGAGACACAACUUUUAACAACGGAUAUCUCGGUUCGU